UACAGAGACUGCGAGCGUUAUUCGGAUUCACUGGGCGUAAAGGGUGCGCAGGCGGCCGAGUGUGUGAGGCGUGAAAGCCCGGGGCUUAACCCCGGAAUUGCACCUCAAACUACACGGCUAGAGCAUUGGAGAGGGUAGCAGAAUUCAUGGUGUAGCAGUGAAAUGCGUAGAUAUCAUGAGGAAUACCAGAGGCGAAGGCGGCUACCUGGACAAUUGCUGACGCUCAGGCACGAAAGCGUGGGGAGCGAACAGG
RNAcentral lists this ribosomal RNA (253 nucleotides) under uncultured bacterium. RNAcentral's name for it is "partial 16S ribosomal RNA". It matches the Rfam family "Bacterial small subunit ribosomal RNA", at positions 524 to 776 of the family's 1533-position model. The record is from RNAcentral.